GUUGUGUCUCCACUCCAGUCUGAUGUCCAAGUGAACACCAAGGACUUAUACUCCUCCGCUAAGAGUCUAUCUUAUACUGAAGGCCUGAGGUGUACACACUCAAAUGAAUGGUCAGGAGAAUCCGUCAUGAAGCAGUGCGAGGGACCGGCCAAGUUACCGAAGACGUAGUCAGACAUGACGCGGCUGAUCAUCGAAGCUCAGCUGAAGAGCGGGUUAAUCCAUGACUGGAGGUCCUUAAAAGCGAAGCCUUGGAGGAUGAUUGAUUGAAGACACAUGCUGAUCUGACGCUGAUUGGAUGGAGAAGAGAUGAACGGUGGAGUCAUAGGAUGGCCGAGGGGUGGAGGAGAGACAGCUGAGAGUGUCAGCUCAAAGUGAGUCAACAUAGUUGUGCCCUGAGUCCCCUGUUGCCUCAGAUGAUGUCACUCCCCAUGGAUUCACACACACAACCACCCACACACACGCACACACAAAUAUAUAUCGAAUUCAAGCACUUAGGUUUUAAAUAAAUGCUUCCAUUUUAAUUAAGUUCUGGUAUUCUUUGUAAGUGAUGUGCAGGGGGAAAAUGAGUGGUGGACCUCAGUACUAAAGUUGUCUCCAACUAGAACUGAUUUUGACAAAAUUUCCCAAUUUCACCAAAUAAACUACGAAAACCUAGAAAAAAUCGACAGCAACUAAGCUUUUCUUCCUGCUGUCUUGAUAUUAUACCCACUUUCCUUAAGAAA
Long non-coding RNA from Girardinichthys multiradiatus, 722 nucleotides. RefSeq lists it as uncharacterized. The record is from RefSeq and is a predicted model, not a curated record. The transcript is spliced from 4 exons. NCBI's taxonomy places the organism in Eukaryota, Metazoa, Chordata, Actinopteri, Cyprinodontiformes, Goodeidae.